Molecule: ribosomal RNA, 105 nt
Filed under: Acanthosepion pharaonis
Lineage: Eukaryota; Metazoa; Mollusca; Cephalopoda; Sepiida; Sepiidae
Source: RNAcentral
ACGGUCACAUUACAUUGAAACACCGGUUCCCGUACAAUCAGUGAAGUUAAGCAACGUCGAGCCUUGGCUGUACCUAGAUGGGUGACGACCGCUUGGGAAUACUAA